This is a non-coding RNA of Mycena latifolia, 93 nucleotides long. The record is from the annotation of a GenBank genome assembly. NCBI's taxonomy places the organism in Eukaryota, Fungi, Basidiomycota, Agaricomycetes, Agaricales, Mycenaceae.
GCGGACGUGGUGUACGGUACACUGCUGCAUUUGAUCAUGGGAAUUCGUUGUGCUUGCAAGCAGUUGAACGGGGUUCGACUCCCCGCGUCCGCA